AGACCUCACAGAGCCUCGUCCCAGGCAGGACCGAGGCUGCAGCACCCAGGGAUGAGCGUGAUGUGGCCUGGCCCCGGGGGUGGCUGCCAGGUCAGGAGGCCAUGGCACUGUGUUCAGCCAACAGGGAGCCCAGGGGGACGCAUCUCAGAACUGCGGGACUUAGGGGCCCACAGUAGUUACUGAAGGGCUCGGACACCCAGCCCGGAGAGUGACCCAUCCUGUCUAAACAGCCCCAGAAGGAGGCCAAAUGGAGCGGGUACUCACGGUGACCCAGCAGCGCUUGGCCAGAGCUAGUGUUGCCUCCUCCCCAUCUUCGUCCCUGCCCCCAGCCCAGGGCCUGGGGGCUCGGGGAGGCGGCAGAUUGGCCGAUUCAAGGACUGGCCCAAGGUUCUUCCAGGGGAGGAGCCUGGGCUCAUCCCAGACCCCAGGAGGAGGGGGAGUAUUUGGUCUUUGUCUGAGCGCACAAACUCUUGAAAUCUGUAGGCGUCACCAGAGGGCUGGAUUAGCGAGGCUUCCUCUGAGCAAAGCCUUCUGCCUUCUUCCAGCCCCUCCGAGUCCAGGGAGUCUUGAGCUCACACUUUAAAGGACAUCGCUUCUUCCAGAGCUGCCAGUGGAGUUGCCCAUGGCUCUCAGAAGCCUGGCCUGAGGCUCAGGAAACAGUGACAGAGACCCAGUGAGAUUGGAGUAGGGCCAUGCGGGGCACCCAACAGCCCAGACAAGGCAGCAGUCAGGGCCUCAGACCAGCACCUUCUUAGAAGAUCACAGGGAGAGUGGCCUGAGGAGCGAGGGUACCUGCCAUCACCGAGAGCCCCGGCUUCAGACAGGGAGCUGAGGCUCCAAGACUCGUCCCAGGUUGCUCAGUGGGUCAGCGGCCACGCAGGGCCAUGGAAACGGCUGUGAUUGGAGUGGUGGCCGUGCUGUUUGUGGUCACUGUGGCCAUCACCUGCGUCCUCUGUUGCUUCAGCUGUGACUCGAGGGCCCGGGAUCCUCAGAGGGGCCCAGGCCACAGCUUCACGGUGGCCACGUUUCGCCAGGAGGCUUCUCUCUUCACGGGGCCAGGUUGCCAUAUCCAACCAGUGGCGGGUGCCCGGGACUUCUGGACCUUCAUGUGAGACCUGCCAGCUCUCGGCCUUUGCUCUGCUGGUGGUCAGACUUGUUUAUGCCCCAGCAAGCCUUCUCUGGUGACCCACUCCUCCAACGCUGGCUUUCCCGUCCUUCCCUGCCUGUGUCCAGUAAACCCUGUCCCAUGUCCUGCAGCCUGGGAGAUCCAUGGUGAUAGGACCAGGUGGGAGUCAGCUCUGACCUCCAAGAGCUCAGCUGGAUCCUAACCACAGGAUGGGGCUUAGGAGAGGUCCAGAGGGUGAGUGACUGAGUGUUGGAUGGCAUGGUGGACCAGGUCUUCUGAUCUACACAGUGAACUGAAAUCUCACCGAACUUUAUUGUGAAGAGUGUUGGGAGUUCCCAUCAUGGCACAGUGGAAAUGAAUCCGACUAGGAACCAUGAGGUUGCGGGUUCGAUCCCUGGCCUUGCUCAGUGGGUCAAGGAUCUGGCGUUGCUGAGAGCUGUGGUGUAGGUCACAGGGGCUGCUCAGAUCUGGCGUUGCUGUGGCUGUGGUGUAGGCCGGUGGCUACAGCUCUGAUUUGACCCCUAGCCUGGAAACCUCCACAUGCCAUAUAUGGCCCUGAAAAAACAAAAAGACAAAAAAAAAAAAAAAAAAAAAAGAGUGUUGGUUAACUCAGCUUAUCCCUGGAUGCCUGUGACCUGUGAAACUGAUUCUGUUGCCACCAGAGGAAGCAGAGCCCUCAAGUGGACAGUUUUACCAAUGACGUCUUCUCUGUUCCCGUAAUUGAGCCAGUUUGCUACUUGCUUGUGCGCAUCCUGCAGAGCUCACCCCUGACACCUGCGCCCUGCUCGUUACCUGAAAUCAGCAGUGAAAUUCUGAAACCAAAGGGCUGCUUCCUGGGAACUGGUGAUUUAUUUUAUAAUUGAACAUGCCUAUCCUUUUAUGGGUCUCCUAAGAAUCGGGGUUGGGAAACCACAAAAGGAAACAGAAGAGAAAGAGUCACAGAAAGCCCAAGAUGUUUUAUUAACAGGAAAGCCAGAAAGAAGACUUUGCAACAUGUUUGGUAUGAGAAUUUAUCACUAAAUUCUUACAGAUCACUUCGAAGAUACUGUGAGGGACUUGGGUCCCUCAGGAAUGAUAGAAAAAUCGGCAACUGAAAGGUGAUUUUGAGUAAGUUAAAAUGUUUCACUGACAGAUUGUAACAAAGCUCUUGCUUGCAUCACAAAUAAAGAGAUGUUCAGUUUUUAUU
RNAcentral lists this long non-coding RNA (2312 nucleotides) under Sus scrofa (pig). RNAcentral describes it as "lncRNA (ENSSSCG00005017884.1)". Lineage: Eukaryota; Metazoa; Chordata; Mammalia; Artiodactyla; Suidae. The record is from RNAcentral.